This 245-nucleotide ribosomal RNA is filed under the name uncultured Nitrosomonas sp. RNAcentral's name for it is "partial 16S ribosomal RNA". It matches the Rfam family "Bacterial small subunit ribosomal RNA", at positions 524 to 768 of the family's 1533-position model. Lineage: Bacteria; Pseudomonadati; Pseudomonadota; Betaproteobacteria; Nitrosomonadales; Nitrosomonadaceae. The record is from RNAcentral.
UACGUAGGGUGCGAGCGUUAAUCGGAAUUACUGGGCGUAAAGGGUGCGCAGGCGGUCUUGCAAGUCAGAUGUGAAAUCCCCGGGCUUAACCUGGGAAUUGCGUUUGAAACUGCAAGGCUAGAGUGCAGCAGAGGGGAGUGGAAUUCCACGUGUAGCAGUGAAAUGCGUAGAGAUGUGGAAGAACACCGAUGGCGAAGGCAGCUCCCUGGGCUGACACUGACGCUCAUGCACGAAAGCGUGGGGAG